RNAcentral lists this ribosomal RNA (705 nucleotides) under Triticum aestivum (bread wheat). RNAcentral's name for it is "partial small subunit ribosomal RNA". The record is from RNAcentral. Lineage: Eukaryota; Viridiplantae; Streptophyta; Magnoliopsida; Poales; Poaceae.
AUGCUUAUGGCGCAGAUUGAGGAUAGAGUAAAUGAGCUAAAACAAGGGGAUAAGUCGGUGAUGGAGUAUGUAGCAGAAUUGCAGCAUUUGUGGGCUCACUUAGACCACUAUGAUCCACUGGAGUUACCACAUUCAGAAUGUAUAGUUGCUACUAAGAAGUGGGUAGAGCGUAGGAGAGUGAUGAAAUUCUUGAAGGGACUUAGCUCAGAAUUUGAAGGAAGGCGUGCUGGGUUGUUUCAUCAGCCAAAGCUCCCCUCGCUUGAGGAGGCAGUUGCAGCAAUGGCACAGGAGGAGGUCAGGUUGAAGUUGACCAGGACUGGAGAAGCGAAUGCAUCUCGCUCAGCAUUUACUGUGUCUGAAUGGAAGGAGACAAGAGAGUGCUUCAACUGUGGAGAGAAAGGUCACAUAAGCAUCAAUUGCACAACACAACGCAGAGAAAUACGUGGUAGGGGAAGAGGUUACAGCCGAGGUGGAUACCGGGGAGUUAGAGGCAGAGAUAACUCGAGGGGUUCGAAUUAUUCCAGUGGCUUCAAAGCAAACUUGGCUAACUUGGCAACGCAAGAAGAAGGGACGUCAACAACCUCUCAAGGGGAGUCGAAGAGUAGAAGCCAGGAGGACAACACCUUCGGGAACUUUGCCCACUUUGUCUACACAGGGGAAGGAGAGGAUGACUGGAAGGAAACUUGGGACAGGAACCAGGCGUAG